GUAGGGAAUAUUGGGCAAUGGAUGCAAGUCUGACCCAGCCAUCCCGCGUGCCGGAAGAAGGCCCUCAGGGUUGUAAACGGCUUUUGACGGUGAAGAAUCGACAGGAUGCGUCCUGUUUUGACGGUAGCCGUUGAAUAAGCACCGGCUAACUCCGUGCCAGCAGCCGCGGUAAUACGGAGGGUGCGAGCGUUGUCCGGAUUUAUUGGGUUUAAAGGGUGCGUAGGCUGGAGGGUCAGUCAGCGGUGAAAAGCUGUCGCUUAACGAUAGUCUUGCCGCAGAUACUUCCUUUCUUGGAUGAGGAGGAGGCCACUGGAACGGAUGGUGUAGCGGUGAAAUGCAUAGAUAUCAUCCAGAACACCGAUUGCGAAGGCAGGUGGCUGUACCUUAAUCGACGCUGAUGCACGAAAGCAUGGGGAGCAAACAGGAUUAGAAACCCGUGUAGUCC
This 445-nucleotide ribosomal RNA is filed under the name uncultured bacterium. RNAcentral's name for it is "partial 16S ribosomal RNA". It matches the Rfam family "Bacterial small subunit ribosomal RNA", at positions 354 to 796 of the family's 1533-position model. The record is from RNAcentral.